Molecule: long non-coding RNA, 315 nt
Filed under: Phoenix dactylifera (date palm)
Lineage: Eukaryota; Viridiplantae; Streptophyta; Magnoliopsida; Arecales; Arecaceae
Description: long non-coding RNA (PDAC_LNC003098)
Source: RNAcentral
AAGUCCAACCUCCUCACUUUGGAUCCCUAUCAAAGACCCUAUUUACCCCUUUUUCAUCUUCAGAUCUCUAAAACAUUAGAUAGAAUGAGUUACUUACCUCUUUUCCUCAGAAAAAUUGAAGUUCUUGCACCGAGGAAAAGAGAUCACACUCCUUCGUUCUUCUUCCUUUCAGCCGGCAGCACAACUGUUUCCUUUGUAUCUUCGAAUUCUCCUCUGUGCUUUCUCCUCCUUCUCUUCUUCUCUCUUUCCCUUCUCUUCUUCUCUCUUUUCCUUCUCUUCUUCUAUUUUCUGUGUUCUUUCCUCCUCACUGCUGAA